AAAUUGAAGAGUUUGAUCAUGGCUCAGAUUGAACGCUGGCGGCAGGCCUAACACAUGCAAGUCGAACGGUAACAGGAAGCAGCUUGCUGCUUCGCUGACGAGUGGCGGACGGGUGAGUAAUGUCUGGGAAACUGCCUGAUGGAGGGGGAUAACUACUGGAAACGGUAGCUAAUACCGCAUAACGUCGCAAGACCAAAGAGGGGGCCCUUCGGGCCUCUUGCCAUCGGAUGUGCCCAGAUGGGAUUAGCUAGUAGGUGGGGUAACGGCUCACCUAGGCGACGAUCCCUAGCUGGUCUGAGAGGAUGACCAGCCACACUGGAACUGAGACACGGUCCAGACUCCUACGGGAGGCAGCAGUGGGGAAUAUUGCACAAUGGGCGCAAGCCUGAUGCAGCCAUGCCGCGUGUAUGAAGAAGGCCUUCGGGUUGUAAAGUACUUUCAGCGGGGAGGAAGGGAGUAAAGUUAAUACCUUU
Molecule: ribosomal RNA, 473 nt
Filed under: Escherichia coli
Lineage: Bacteria; Pseudomonadati; Pseudomonadota; Gammaproteobacteria; Enterobacterales; Enterobacteriaceae
Description: bacterial SSU rRNA
Rfam family: Bacterial small subunit ribosomal RNA
Source: RNAcentral